RNA transcript from Myotis myotis, 2347 nucleotides. It is a transcript of the gene named glycogen synthase kinase 3 alpha, with no coding region annotated. NCBI's taxonomy places the organism in Eukaryota, Metazoa, Chordata, Mammalia, Chiroptera, Vespertilionidae. The transcript is spliced from 12 exons. The record is from RefSeq and is a predicted model, not a curated record.
UCCCGGCGUGCCCCGCGGCGGGCGCUGGGCCGGAGCCGGAGCCCGAGCGGCGCGGCCUGGAAGAGGCCGGAGGCCGGGAGAGGCGGCGGCAGCCCGGGCAGCCCGAGCCCCGCAGCUUGGGCCUGCGCUCGGCGCCAUGAGCGGCGGCGCGCCUUCGGGGGGCGGCCCUGGGGGCUCGGGCCGGGCGCGGACAAGCUCGUUUGCGGAGCCUGGCGGCGGCGGCGGCGGCGGUGGCGGUGGCCCUGGGGGCUCGGCCUCCGGCCCGGUCGGCAGCACCGGCGGGAAAGUGUCAGUCGGAGCCAUGGGUGGGGGCGUGGGGACCUCGAGUUCCGGGGGUGGCCCCAGCAGCAGCGGCGGAGGAGGCAGCGGCGUCCCCAGUGCGGGCACCAGCUUCCCGCCGCCCGGAGUGAAGCUGGGCCGUGACAGCGGGAAGGUGACCACAGUGGUAGCCACUCUAGGCCAAGGCCCGGAGCGCUCCCAGGAGGUGGCUUACACAGACAUCAAAGUGAUUGGCAAUGGCUCAUUUGGGGUUGUGUACCAGGCACGGCUGGCAGAGACCAGGGAACUGGUAGCCAUCAAGAAGGUUCUCCAGGACAAGAGGUUCAAGAACCGAGAGCUGCAGAUUAUGCGGAAGCUGGACCACUGCAAUAUCGUGAGGCUGAGAUACUUUUUCUACUCCAGUGGGGAGAAGAAAGACGAGCUUUACCUAAAUCUGGUGCUGGAGUACGUGCCCGAGACAGUGUACCGGGUGGCCCGUCAUUUCACCAAGGCCAAGUUGACCAUCCCUAUCAUCUAUGUCAAGGUAUACAUGUACCAGCUCUUCCGGAGCUUGGCCUACAUCCACUCCCAGGGCGUGUGUCACCGUGACAUCAAACCCCAGAAUCUGCUGGUGGACCCUGACACGGCUGUCCUCAAGCUCUGUGAUUUUGGCAGUGCAAAGCAGCUGGUCCGGGGGGAGCCCAAUGUCUCCUACAUCUGUUCUCGCUACUAUCGUGCCCCCGAGCUGAUCUUUGGAGCCACUGAUUAUACCUCAUCCAUCGAUGUGUGGUCAGCUGGCUGCGUACUGGCCGAGCUCCUCCUGGGCCAGCCCAUCUUCCCUGGGGACAGUGGGGUAGACCAGCUGGUGGAGAUCAUCAAGGUGCUGGGAACACCAACCCGGGAGCAGAUCCGAGAGAUGAACCCCAACUACACGGAGUUCAAGUUCCCCCAGAUUAAAGCUCACCCUUGGACAAAGGUGUUCAAAUCUCGAACGCCACCUGAGGCCAUAGCGCUCUGCUCUAGCCUGCUGGAGUACACACCGUCCUCGAGGCUCUCCCCACUGGAAGCCUGUGCCCACAGCUUCUUUGAUGAACUGCGAUGUCACGGAAUCCAGCUCCCUAACAACCGCUCGCUUCCCCCCCUCUUCAAUUUCAGUCCUGGUGAACUCUCCAUCCAACCAUCUCUCAACGCCAUUCUCAUCCCUCCUCACUUGAGGUCCCCGGCGGGCACUGCCACCCUCACCCCACCCUCACAAGUCCAGUUUUCCUGUUUCUCCUGGGGAAGAAAGUCAGACGGGACGGCAGUGGGCCUGCCUUUCCUCGGUCCUUUGGCAUUUGAGUUUGCAACCAUGGAUCUAAAGUGACAGCUUUCACUUUCAAAUGCAGCAUCUUACAUGGACUUCCUGCUUGUGGAGGUUUAAGUGAGACUCAGACCGGCUCAGAAUGGCAGUCAGCCGAAGCCACAGCUCCCCUCACUAACUCCUCCUGAGGGCCCUGCCAACUACCCUUCCAUCUGGGAGCCCCAGGUGGGGCUGGGAAAGGGGGGCCAUAGCUCCUGCCCUGGCUGGGCCCCUAGACUAGAGGGCAGAGGUAAAUGAGUCCCUGUUCCCUCUUCCUGUUCCUUCCUCACCAGCCUCACCCCUAUGGUGGGCUUUUUAAGAGGAUUUCAACUGGCUGUGGGGAGGGAAGAGAAGGAAGGAUGGACGGGGUUGGGGGCAUGAGGACCUCCUAUCCCUUGGCCCUCUUCCCUCCCCCCAGACCGCCCUUCUCCAACCCACCCUCCCUUCCCCUGUCCCUUGUAAAUAGAACCAGCCCAGCCCAUCUCCUCUCCUCUUUCCUGGCCCCCGGGUGUAAAUAGAUUGUUAUAAUUUUUUUCUUAAAGAAAACGUCGAUUCGCACCGUCCAACCUGGCUCCUCCCCCUCCUACAGCUGUGUUCCCCUCCUGUCCUCUGCCCUAAGGUCUCCUCCCUCCUCUCCCCACCCUGGAGGGCUGGGUUAGGGAUGGUGGGGGGAUCCUGAUGUCUUAGUUUCCACAGUAAGGUUUGCCUGUGUACAGACCUCCGUUCAAUAAAUUAUUGGCAUGAAACCUG